This 253-nucleotide ribosomal RNA is filed under the name uncultured bacterium. RNAcentral describes it as "partial 16S ribosomal RNA". It matches the Rfam family "Bacterial small subunit ribosomal RNA", at positions 524 to 776 of the family's 1533-position model. The record is from RNAcentral.
UACGAAGGGGGCGAGCGUUGUUCGGAAUUACUGGGCGUAAAGGGCGCGUAGGCGGCCCCUUUUGUCGCGUGUGAAAGCCCCGGGCUCAACCUGGGAACGGCGCGCGAAACGGGGGGGCUUGAGUUCGGGAGAGGAGAGUGGAAUUCCCAGUGUAGCGGUGAAAUGCGUAGAUAUUGGGAGGAACACCAGUGGCGAAGGCGGCUCACUGGACCGGUACUGACGCUGAUGCGCGAAAGCGUGGGGAGCGAACAGG